AUAGUAACUCCAUCUCUCCUUCAACAUAAUUUAAAAGAUUAAAGAUUUGAUUGUUGCAGGUUUCCACAUCAAGCGCCAGCGUCGUGCCCACCCCAGCGCCAGCGUCACUUGGUCUUCGUCGUACCCGCCUACCCUAGUGCCAGCAUCAGCCUAGUGCCAGCACCGCCCCAGAUCAAGCCCCUGCGCUGCCCCAGCGCCGCCCUAUCCCCAGCGCCGCCUAAGCACUAACGUCGUCCUAUGAAUCAGUCCAGUGCCACCCUAGCGCCGUCCUCAGUCGAGCACCCUCCUCCGAAUCAAGACUUGAACUCAGUUUUCUCUAUCUUCACGCUUUUCAUCGACCAAAAUCAGGGGAAGAGUGUGAAGAGUACUUCCAGGUUGCGGAGUGGGAGAGAUGAAAUCGUUCAAGUCAAACAAGCAACCCCUUCACUUUUAGACAUUGAGAUAAUUGAGAAAAUUUAGGGGAAGCAAUCUCAUGACCACAUUACUAUAUUUUGUGGCGGGACAACUUUGAAAGAUCUAAGAGGACCGCUCCCUAGUCGAUCUGAUCUGGAAGCACUGGUUAUAGAAGAAAAGAAAAAGAAUCAGACGCUUCAAUAACGCUUAAAUGAGUAGGGGCAACAACAACAUCAACAACAACAAAGGAUGUCAGACUUAUAGAGUCACAAGUUAAAGCAAUGCAUGAACUUUUUUUAAGGCAACAUUAAUUUAAUACUUCAUUGACUCCUCAAACUCGAGAACAUGUGCAGAAUUAGGAAAUCCACCUGAUGUGGCACAAAUGUUUCAUUAAACUCGAAAGAAAGCUAAUGAAACACUAGAUAUUGGGGAUCAAGAUAAAUAUGAUGAAACUGUUCAAGUCAAACAAGCAAACCCUUCACUUUCUGACAUUGAGAUAGUUGAGAAAAUCUGGGGGAAGCAAUCUCAUGGUCACAUCACUGUAUUUGGUGGCGGGACUACUUUAAAAAAUUUGAGAGGACUGCUCCCUAGUCGAUCUGAUCUGGAAGCACAUGUUAUAGAAGAAAAGAGAAAGAACCAGAUGCUUUAACAACGCUUAGAUGAGCAGGAGCAACAACAACAAAGGAUGUCUGAGUUGGACUCACAAGUGAAAGCUAUGCAAGAACAUUUUUUUAGGCAAUCACCUUCAUUGACUCCUCAAACUCGAGAACGUGUGCAGGACUAGGCUAUCCAUGCAAGAUUAGGAGGGGG
Molecule: long non-coding RNA, 1203 nt
Organism: Asparagus officinalis (garden asparagus)
Lineage: Eukaryota; Viridiplantae; Streptophyta; Magnoliopsida; Asparagales; Asparagaceae
Exons: 8
Source: RefSeq, a predicted model, not a curated record